Small nucleolar RNA from Neltuma alba, 78 nucleotides. The record is from RefSeq and is a predicted model, not a curated record. NCBI's taxonomy places the organism in Eukaryota, Viridiplantae, Streptophyta, Magnoliopsida, Fabales, Fabaceae.
AAGAGACAUGAUGAUGUAUACCCAUCAAUUCUGUAGCAGAAUGAUGAAUAUCUUACAUGCACUACCAUCUGAUCUCUU